This is a small nuclear RNA of Oncorhynchus tshawytscha (Chinook salmon), 116 nucleotides long. Its record names the gene U5. It matches the Rfam family "U5 spliceosomal RNA". From Rfam's summary of the family: U5 RNA is a component of both types of known spliceosome. The record is from Ensembl. Lineage: Eukaryota; Metazoa; Chordata; Actinopteri; Salmoniformes; Salmonidae.
ACACUCUGAUUUCUCUUCAGAUCGCAUAAAUCUUUCGCCUUUUACUAAAGAUUUCCGUGGAGAGGAACGUUAUCAGUAUUAGCUAAUUUUUUAAUGCCCUGUUUUACGGCGGGGCU